GUCUAAAAUCUGCUCAAUGAAUUAAUUUUAAAUAGCUGCAGUAUAAUUAACUGUACAAAGGUAGCAUAAUAAAUUGUCUUUUAAUUAAAGAAUGGAAUGAAAGAAUUAAUGAAAUAUAUACUGUCUCUAUUAUAUAUUAUGAAAUUAAAUUUUUAGUUAAAAUGCUAAAAUUUAAUUAUGGGACGAUAAGACCCUAUAGAAUUUUAUUUUAAAUUAUUAUAAUUGUAGUUUUUAUUAAUAUAAUUAUAAUAAUUUAAAAUUUAAUUGGGAGGAUUAAUAAAUUAAAUAAACUUUAUUUAUAAAAAACUUUGAUUUAAGAAUAAUAAAUUUGAUAUAAUAUUAUUAAUUAUAAGAAUAAAUUACCUUAGGGAUAACAGCGUAAUAUUUUUUAAAAGAUCAUAUUAAUAAAAAUGUUUGCGACCUCGAUGUUGAGUUAAGAUAAAUUUUAAAUGGAGAAAUUUAAAAAUUAAGUCUGUUCGACUUUUAAAAUCUUACAUGAUUUGAGUUC
This 508-nucleotide ribosomal RNA is filed under the name Aglae caerulea. RNAcentral describes it as "partial 16S ribosomal RNA". The stretch from base 370 to 508 matches the Rfam family "Bacterial large subunit ribosomal RNA", at positions 2473 to 2612 of the family's 2925-position model. Lineage: Eukaryota; Metazoa; Arthropoda; Insecta; Hymenoptera; Apidae. The record is from RNAcentral.